This 2892-nucleotide ribosomal RNA is filed under the name Pseudomonas syringae pv. solidagae. RNAcentral describes it as "bacterial LSU rRNA". It matches the Rfam family "Bacterial large subunit ribosomal RNA". Lineage: Bacteria; Pseudomonadati; Pseudomonadota; Gammaproteobacteria; Pseudomonadales; Pseudomonadaceae. The record is from RNAcentral.
UCAAGUGAAGAAGCGCAUACGGUGGAUGCCUUGGCAGUCAGAGGCGAUGAAAGACGUGGUAGCCUGCGAAAAGCUUCGGGGAGUCGGCAAACAGACUGUGAUCCGGAGAUGUCUGAAUGGGGGAACCCAGCCAUCAUAAGAUGGUUAUCUUGUACUGAAUACAUAGGUGCAAGAGGCGAACCAGGGGAACUGAAACAUCUAAGUACCCUGAGGAAAAGAAAUCAACCGAGAUUCCCUUAGUAGUGGCGAGCGAACGGGGACCAGCCCUUAAGUUGUAUUGAGAUUAGCGGAACACUCUGGAAAGGGUGGCCAUAGUGGGUGAUAGCCCUGUACGCGAAAAUCCCUUUGCAAUGAAAUCGAGUAGGACGGGGCACGAGAAACCUUGUCUGAAUAUGGGGGGACCAUCCUCCAAGGCUAAAUACUACUGACUGACCGAUAGUGAACCAGUACCGUGAGGGAAAGGCGAAAAGAACCGCGGAGAGCGGAGUGAAAUAGAUCCUGAAACCGUAUGCGUACAAGCAGUGGGAGCCCACUUUGUUGGGUGACUGCGUACCUUUUGUAUAAUGGGUCAGCGACUUAUUUUCAGUGGCGAGCUUAACCGAAUAGGGGAGGCGUAGCGAAAGCGAGUCUUAAUAGGGCGUCUAGUCGCUGGGAAUAGACCCGAAACCGGGCGAUCUAUCCAUGGGCAGGUUGAAGGUUGGGUAACACUAACUGGAGGACCGAACCGACUACCGUUGAAAAGUUAGCGGAUGACCUGUGGAUCGGAGUGAAAGGCUAAUCAAGCUCGGAGAUAGCUGGUUCUCCUCGAAAGCUAUUUAGGUAGCGCCUCAUGUAUCACUGUAGGGGGUAGAGCACUGUUUCGGCUAGGGGGUCAUCCCGACUUACCAAACCGAUGCAAACUCCGAAUACCUACAAGUGCCGAGCAUGGGAGACACACGGCGGGUGCUAACGUCCGUCGUGAAAAGGGAAACAACCCAGACCGUCAGCUAAGGUCCCAAAGUCAUGGUUAAGUGGGAAACGAUGUGGGAAGGCUUAGACAGCUAGGAGGUUGGCUUAGAAGCAGCCACCCUUUAAAGAAAGCGUAAUAGCUCACUAGUCGAGUCGGCCUGCGCGGAAGAUGUAACGGGGCUCAAACCAUGCACCGAAGCUACGGGUAUCAUCUUAGGAUGAUGCGGUAGAGGAGCGUUCUGUAAGCCUGUGAAGGUGAGUUGAGAAGCUUGCUGGAGGUAUCAGAAGUGCGAAUGCUGACAUGAGUAACGACAAUGGGUGUGAAAAACACCCACGCCGAAAGACCAAGGUUUCCUGCGCAACGUUAAUCGACGCAGGGUUAGUCGGUCCCUAAGGCGAGGCUGAAAAGCGUAGUCGAUGGAAAACAGGUUAAUAUUCCUGUACUUCUGGUUAUUGCGAUGGAGGGACGGAGAAGGCUAGGCCAGCCUGGCGUUGGUUGUCCAGGUUUAAGGUGGUAGGCUGAGAUCUUAGGUAAAUCCGGGAUCUUAAGGCCGAGAGCUGAUGACGAGUGUUCUUUUAGAACACGAAGUGGUUGAUGCCAUGCUUCCAAGAAAAGCUUCUAAGCUUCAGGUAACCAGGAACCGUACCCCAAACCGACACAGGUGGUUGGGUAGAGAAUACCAAGGCGCUUGAGAGAACUCGGGUGAAGGAACUAGGCAAAAUGGCACCGUAACUUCGGGAGAAGGUGCGCCGGUGGAGGUGAAGCAUUUACUGCGUAAGCCCCUGCCGGUCGAAGAUACCAGGCCGCUGCGACUGUUUAUUAAAAACACAGCACUCUGCAAACACGAAAGUGGACGUAUAGGGUGUGACGCCUGCCCGGUGCCGGAAGGUUAAUUGAUGGGGUUAGCGCAAGCGAAGCUCUUGAUCGAAGCCCCGGUAAACGGCGGCCGUAACUAUAACGGUCCUAAGGUAGCGAAAUUCCUUGUCGGGUAAGUUCCGACCUGCACGAAUGGCGUAACGAUGGCGGCGCUGUCUCCACCCGAGACUCAGUGAAAUUGAAAUCGCUGUGAAGAUGCAGUGUAUCCGCGGCUAGACGGAAAGACCCCGUGAACCUUUACUAUAGCUUUGCACUGGACUUUGAAUUUGCUUGUGUAGGAUAGGUGGGAGGCUUUGAAGCGUGGACGCCAGUCUGCGUGGAGCCAACCUUGAAAUACCACCCUGGCAACUUUGAGGUUCUAACUCAGGUCCGUUAUCCGGAUCGAGGACAGUGUAUGGUGGGUAGUUUGACUGGGGCGGUCUCCUCCUAAAGAGUAACGGAGGAGUACGAAGGUGCGCUCAGACCGGUCGGAAAUCGGUCGUAGAGUAUAAAGGCAAAAGCGCGCUUGACUGCGAGACAGACACGUCGAGCAGGUACGAAAGUAGGUCUUAGUGAUCCGGUGGUUCUGUAUGGAAGGGCCAUCGCUCAACGGAUAAAAGGUACUCCGGGGAUAACAGGCUGAUACCGCCCAAGAGUUCAUAUCGACGGCGGUGUUUGGCACCUCGAUGUCGGCUCAUCACAUCCUGGGGCUGAAGCCGGUCCCAAGGGUAUGGCUGUUCGCCAUUUAAAGUGGUACGCGAGCUGGGUUUAGAACGUCGUGAGACAGUUCGGUCCCUAUCUGCCGUGGACGUUUGAGAUUUGAGAGGGGCUGCUCCUAGUACGAGAGGACCGGAGUGGACGAACCUCUGGUGUUCCGGUUGUCACGCCAGUGGCAUUGCCGGGUAGCUAUGUUCGGAAAAGAUAACCGCUGAAAGCAUCUAAGCGGGAAACUUGCCUCAAGAUGAGAUCUCACUGGAACCUUGAGUUCCCUGAAGGGCCGUCGAAGACUACGACGUUGAUAGGUUGGGUGUGUAAGCGCUGUGAGGCGUUGAGCUAACCAAUACUAAUUGCCCGUGAGGCUUGACCAU